This 71-nucleotide transfer RNA is filed under the name Camelus bactrianus (Bactrian camel). It matches the Rfam family "tRNA". From Rfam's summary of the family: Transfer RNA (tRNA) molecules are approximately 80 nucleotides in length. Their secondary structure includes four short double-helical elements and three loops (D, anti-codon, and T loops). Further hydrogen bonds mediate the characteristic L-shaped molecular structure. tRNAs have two regions of fundamental functional importance: the anti-codon, which is responsible for specific mRNA codon recognition, and the 3' end, to which the tRNAs corresponding amino acid is attached (by aminoacyl-tRNA synthetases). tRNAs cope with the degeneracy of the genetic code in two manners: having more than one tRNA (with a specific anti-codon) for a particular amino acid; and 'wobble' base-pairing, i.e. permitting non-standard base-pairing at the 3rd anti-codon position. Lineage: Eukaryota; Metazoa; Chordata; Mammalia; Artiodactyla; Camelidae. RNAcentral also lists the same sequence under 3 other names. The record is from Rfam by way of RNAcentral.
GAGGGUAGAGCUCAGUGGCAGAGUGCCUGCCUAGCAUGCACAAGGUCCUGGGUUCAAUUCCCAGUUCUCCA